Molecule: ribosomal RNA, 301 nt
Filed under: uncultured bacterium
Lineage: Bacteria
Description: partial 16S ribosomal RNA
Rfam family: Bacterial small subunit ribosomal RNA
Source: RNAcentral
CAGUCGCCGCGGGAAUACGGAGGGUGCAAGCGUUAAUCGGAAUUACUGGGCGUAAAGCGCACGCAGGCGGUUUGUUAAGUCAGAUGUGAAAUCCCCGAGCUUAACUUGGGAACUGCAUUUGAAACUGACAAGCUAGAGUCUUGUAGAGGGGGGUAGAAUUCCAGGUGUAGCGGUGAGAUGCGUAGAGAUCUGGAGGAAUACCGGUGGCGAAGGCGGCCCCCUGGACAAAGACUGACGCUCAGGUGCGAAAGCGUGGGGAGCAAACAGGAUUAGAUACCCCUGUAGUCCCUGUCUCUUAUAC